Molecule: ribosomal RNA, 455 nt
Filed under: uncultured bacterium
Lineage: Bacteria
Description: bacterial SSU rRNA
Rfam family: Bacterial small subunit ribosomal RNA
Source: RNAcentral
UACGUAGUUGAUCAGUGGCUACAGAACGAACGCUGGCGGCAGGCCUAACACAUGCAAGUCGAGCGCCCCGCAAGGGGAGCGGCGGACGGGUGAGUAACGCGUGGGAACGUACCCUUUGCUACGGAAUAGCCUCGGGAAACUGGGAGUAAUACCGUAUGUGCCCUUCGGGGGAAAGAUUUAUCGCCCAAGGAUGAGCCCGCGUAGGAUUAGCUAGUUGGUGAGGUAAAGGCUCACCAAGGCGACGAUCCUUAGCUGGUCUGAGAGGAUGAUCAGCCACACUGGGACUGAGACACGGCCCAGACUCCUACGGGAGGCAGCAGUGGGGAAUAUUGGACAAUGGGCGAAAGCCUGAUCCAGCAAUGCCGCGUGAGUGAUGAAGGCCUUAGGGUUGUAAAGCUCUUUUGCCCGGGAUGAUAAUGACAGUACCGGGAGAAUAAGCUCCGGCUAACUCCGUG